UUUUUUUUUCCCUGAAGUGUUGGCCAUUUGUAUCUCUUAUUUUGAGAACUAGCUGUGCAUUUGCUCAUUUAUUGAAAAGGUUUUUGUUUUUCUGGUGUUAAGAUAUUUGCAUUAAUAUUUUUAGGAUAUUAAUCCUCUGUCAGAAGAAUAGCUGGCAAAGCUUUUCUCCAUUUCUGGAGGCUACCACUUCUUACUCUUUUGUGUUUCACUUACUAUGCAGGAAUUUUUCAGUUUGAUGCACCCUCUCUUAUCCAUUGUUGCUCUUAUUUUCUGAGCUGUAGGGGGCUCUAUUCAGGAAGUUAUUGCCUACAUACUGACGUGUUUUCCAUAUAUUUUCUUCUAGUAUUUGUAAACCUUCUAGUCUGGUACAUAUGUCUUUAGUCCUUUCUGAAUAAACUCUUGUACAGUGUUAGAAAAUAGGCAUCUAGAUUUCUUCUUUUACAUACGGAUAUCUAGUUUUUCCAACACUAUUUCUAAAAUGUUGUUUGUCUUUUCUCCAAAAUAUGUUUUUGGUGUCUUUGCCUAGUAUCACAUGACUGUACCCCUGGGUUUGCUCUCUGUCUUCUUUUCUAUCCAUUGGUCUAUGGGUCUUUCUUUACACCAGGACCAUGGUUUUUAUUACUAUGGCUCUGUUUUAUAUUUUGAAAUUGGGCAUUGUGGUUUAUCCAUUGUUUCUCUUAUGAUCAGUAUCAUUUUGUCUAAGUAUUUCUUUGUUUGUUUGUUUUUCUUCCAUACAAAUUUAGAAGUAGUUAUUUUCCCCCCAUUUCUGCAACAAUACCAUUUGAAUUUGAAUGGGAAUACAUGGAAUCUAUAAUUCAUUUAUGGUACUAUGCCCAUUUUCAGAAUAUUAAUUCUGCUUCUCUAUGAACAUAGCAGAUCUUUUUACUUCCUAUUGUUUUCUUAUUUUUUUUCUUCAAUGUGUAAUUUUUCUUGAAGAGGUCAUUCACUUUCUUGUUUAGGGUUAUUCCUAGCUAUUUUUAAAGUUAUUUGAAUGAGCUAUUACUCUUGCUUUAUUCUCUCUAGGUUUGCUAUGGUAUAUAGACAAACAGUUUACUUUUAUAUGUUUAUUUUAUAUCCUGUUACUCUGAUGAAUUCAUUCAUCAAAGUAGAAUUUUCAUAAUAUAUUAUGUUCUUCUAAGAAUUAGGACUAACUAAAUCAUUUGCAUAUAGAAAUAAUUUAACAUUUUAAUUUUCUUAUUUGAAUCCCUUUUAUUUCUUUCUCUUUUUCUAAAAUUUUAAGUACUGUGAUUAGUGAGAUUGGCGGCAAUGAAUGAACAUCCUUGUGUAUUUCCUGAUUUUAGAGAAAAUGUUCUUCUUUAUUUUACUAUUGGCUUUGGAUUUGGUAUACUUGGUCUUUAUUAUCUUUUAAUAAAAUUCUCCUAUUCUCUAAUCUCUCAGGGCUUUGUCAUGAGGGCCAUUGAAUUUGUCAAAGGCUUUUCCUGCAGCUUCUUAAAAGAUCAUGUAAUUUUGCUCUUGAUUCUAUGUGUGAUGUAUUAGUUUUAUUGAUUUGCAUGUAUUGAAUCAUCCUGGAUCAAAAUCAGCUUUUAUGGAUUUUUUUUUUUUUGUAUGUGACUAGAGUCUCAAACCAGGAGCAUGGUACGAAGGAAUCACAUCCCCAGGACCUUUUAUUGUUCACUUUGAUAACAGGUCUCACUAAAUUUCCCAGGCUGGCUUUGAAAUUACAGUGUUCUCAAACAACCUGAUGCUUUUCUGAGAGUAUAGACCUACACCACUAUGCCUGAUAUGUAUGUUAUUUUGUAAUGUGUUGUUGAAUGUGGUUUGCAAAGAUUUUAUGAGAAUUUUUAUACUAUGUUCCUCAAGGAUAUUGAUAUCUAGUUUUUUCUUGUUCUGUCCAAUAUUCACUUUUCCAGUCAGGGUAAUACUUUGCAGAAUUGCUUUGGAAGCAUCUUUCCUUUGCUCUUAAAUGUAAUGGGGGAUUAAUAUCAGUUCUUCUUUAAAUAUCUGAUAAAAUUUAGCCAUGUAUUCACCUCUGAACCUCUGGUCCAUAAGGCUUUUUAUUAUUGCUUCAACCUAAUUGCUUGUUAUUGAGCUAUGGUUUUCUCUAUCUGUUUGA
This 2074-nucleotide long non-coding RNA is filed under the name Marmota monax (woodchuck). Lineage: Eukaryota; Metazoa; Chordata; Mammalia; Rodentia; Sciuridae. The record is from RNAcentral.